This is a small nuclear RNA of Monodelphis domestica (gray short-tailed opossum), 107 nucleotides long. NCBI's taxonomy places the organism in Eukaryota, Metazoa, Chordata, Mammalia, Didelphimorphia, Didelphidae. The record is from Ensembl.
GUGCUUGCUUCAUAAGUACAUAUACUAAAAUUGGAAUGAUACAGCAAAGAUUAGCAUGACCCCUACACAAGGAUGACGUACAAAUCUGUGAAGUAUUCUUUAAAAAA